This 73-nucleotide transfer RNA is filed under the name Actinomycetota bacterium. RNAcentral describes it as "Actinobacteria bacterium (soil metagenome) tRNA-Met". It matches the Rfam family "tRNA". Rfam says of the family: Transfer RNA (tRNA) molecules are approximately 80 nucleotides in length. Their secondary structure includes four short double-helical elements and three loops (D, anti-codon, and T loops). Lineage: Bacteria; Bacillati; Actinomycetota. The record is from RNAcentral.
GCCGGGAUAGCUCAGCUGGCAGAGCGCCUGAUUCAUGCUCAGGAGGUCGGGGGGUCGGGACCCUCUCUCGGUA